Monodelphis domestica (gray short-tailed opossum) is the source of this 3253-nucleotide non-coding RNA. The record is from RefSeq and is a predicted model, not a curated record. NCBI's taxonomy places the organism in Eukaryota, Metazoa, Chordata, Mammalia, Didelphimorphia, Didelphidae.
UCAGCUAUAGGAGACGGAGCGGCGGUCAGCCCUUCACCUUGGACCCAGGCUGGCAUUAGGGCAGCCUCUCCCCCUCCCUUGCCUCCCCUCCCCAGACCCCGCCGGGCCGGACAGAAAUGGGACCGAGAAGCACUAGAGCCCUGACCCUCAGGCUCCAUCCUCAUCUCUCCAUUUCCCAAGGUACCACCGCCCCCACCCCCAGCCCCCCUGCCCACACUGGGCUCACGUCAUUGGGAACCAGGAAUUCCUGGGAGCUGGUCUGGGCACUGGGAUCCAGGCCUAAAGGAGAGAAGAGAGUCUUGACCUCAAAGGCCGGGCACAGCCUGGGCAUCCCGGCCGAGUCACUUGACUCCAGCCCUGACCCAAGGCCUCGGGGGAUCCUGGGAAGCCCAUUGCUGAGACCCACAGGACCCACAUCCCCUCCUGUGACCGUCCCUCCCGCUAUCCCAUGCGGCCUCUUGACAGAGACCCUACAGCUUAGCUGGGGCCCGAAGAGGGCCGGCUUCGGGAUUGAUGGGCUCCUCCGCUACUUCACCAUCUAGGGGAUCUGGGCCAGCCCCUUCCCCAUUUCUGGGCGUGCCCUCUGUAAAAUGGGAAGCGGGAGCAGAAAACUCCAAGGUCCCGUGCAGCUGCCAAGCCCGGGACUGACGUGUGUCCAGAAGCUGGGCGAACCCUAUUUUUCAAGGCGUCUGGCCCUUCUCCCAGCCCCAAGAGGCACUGGCUUACCUGGCACCACACUGGGUGAAGCAAAAGGUACAGGAUGGCCUGACAGUUGCUGGAGCUUGCUGACCUGAGCCGAGGAGAAGGGAAAGGGAGCCUGCCAGGCCCGACUUCGGGGAAGGGGAGAGAAUAUGGAAGGCAAGGAGAGAGCAGGGGUAAGGGGGCCUGGCCCCACUCACCUCUGCUGGAGUCACUGUCCCAUACUGGCCCUGAACAGAGAAACCCUGUGUGGGGGGAGGGUGGCAGUUACCAUGGUAACAGCCAACCUCCUUUUCUCUCUGCCUCUCCAUCUCUCUGGGGUAGUGGGGGCAAGAUGCUCAGGCUAGGGAGGGGAUAUUUGGGGAAUCCAAGCAUGUUCCCUACCCCCACCCCAUUCCUUGGACCCACAGCACAGAUCUCCCUUCCCCUUGUACCCCCCCUCCACUGUACCCCCUCCUUGUUACCUGGUUGGCGGAGAGCAGGACGGUGCCCAGGGAGAGGCUGGGGUGGUAAGGGAUGGUAGCUCCUUUGGGAGGGGACUGGAGGGGAUGGGGAGGGGUAUUUGGACAAGGUCCCCAGUGACCAUACCCAACUGACCCCCCCAUGACAUUUAACGAUUCCCCAAUGCUUUGCCAAUUACCCUGCUAUACCUCAAAACCUCACUGAUCCCUAAAUCCUCACUGAGUUCCCUACUAACCCCAAUACCCCACUUAAUCUCCUACUGACUUAUCCAGUAUCCUCCCACAGGCACAACCCCAACCUCUAUGAACUUUUCUAAGAUGUUCCCCGACCAUGCCCGCCCCUAACCUAGGACAAUUCAGAGACACCCCCCUCCCUAUGCCAUAUUCCUCCCCUUCAAUGUCCUGUCCUACAGCACCCACCACAACCCCACGCCACGGGUGUAAGGGAAGAGCUGUUGGCCUCAGUCCUGGGUGCGGAAGAGCUGGUCCUCAGACUUAGCUCAGAAAUGUCCCACUCUCACUCUCUGGGACCUCAUCAGCCAUCUAGCUGCCUCCCCCAUUCCCCACACCCCAAUCAGGACCUCUGACAAGGCCUCUCUGGUUGCCAUGCCCACAGUCUGCUGUUUUCACAACACAACCAGCAGCAAUCCCCAGGAGGCUGUGGGGGUGGUGGGGAGGACAAAGAGGGUCCCUCCCUCCAGUACCUCUAGAAUCACUGCACAGAUCUGGCGCACACAGAGGAUGAUGGCAUCGGGGACACCAGAAACGGUGACUGCCCGCUCUGUAGAGUUGGGAAGCAGGUCUCCAGCCACCUGGACCUGAGCCCCUGUAGUCUAGGGCAGGGAAAAGGAAUGACUCAGACUCUUGCUGUCUGAGAUGGGAAUGGAAGGGAGUGUUCUGCCCAGCCUAUCCAUUCUGGGAGGUCGUGACCCCUGGACUUCCCCUUGGUAGGUAUGGGGUUCGUAGGAGUGGAAAGGGAGAGACAUCACCCUGGGCAAGGCUGGGAAAGCCAACCUUUCCCUGGACUUACCCCAAGAGGGCUUCCAUACCUCCCGGAUCUCCUUAAUCUUGGUCCCUGCCUUCCCAAUGAGGGAACCACACUGACUGGCUGGAAUGACCAGCCGAAGGGUAACUGGGGGUUUAGAGAUGCUGCCACCAUUUGGGGGGCCUGUACAUAGGUCCUAGAGAACAAGGAGGGGAUUAGUCAGCCACCCCCCCCCAAAUAUAUAUAUAUACACACAUACUUCAUCUCCAGGCUUCAUUAUUUCCCUUAUUCUCCAUCUCUCCUCAGCUUUUGAAAAUGCAAUCCAUUCAUUCAAUCCAAUUCCUUCUUCCAGGAAGCUCUCUCUGGAGAAUAUUCUCCCCUUCAAUCCCUGCCCUCCUACUGCUCAUCCCCUGGAGCCCAAAGCACUCAGGACCAUAUACAUAGAUUGACAUUGCUCAGGAGCCUCUUGUUUCCAGCCCUGGAGAAGGACGGCUGUGUGUGUCCGUCUGUCCUCACCCCAGAGAGGUGGGAAAGUUGGAGGCUCUCAGGCUCCGGUACUCUCAGCUACUCACCUGCUCUCGGAUCCUCUUUACCGUCUCCCCUUUCUGUGAAAGGAAGGAAGAAAGGAAAGUACAAUCCCCUGCUCCGGCCGGCACGGAGGGAAUGGUACCAGGACCCUCAAGGCUGAUGAUGACCAUCACUUACCUUUCCAAUGAUGCUGCCCACCUCCUGUCAACACAAGGGGACAAGCCUGGAUCAGAGAAGCUCCGACCUCCCUCUCUCUUAGCCAUCCCCUAUUUCUGGGCACCAAGUUUCUCUCUUCCCUCCUAUUAGCACUGAGGCACCUAGAGUCUAACCAGGCCUUAGUAAUCAAUUGAAAAAAGUCUGGUCUGUUGUAGUAGAUCUGGGGUGUUUUGACUUCUGGAACCACAAUGCUACCCCAGCCCUAUAGCCCCUCAGAGUCCCAGUCCAUGGGUGUCCCACCUCCACCCCCAGCUUCCAUUUUCCCCAAAAGAAGAACGUUGGUAACUCUAGGACCUGGGACAAACCCUACCCCUCCUUUGGACCUCAGUUUCUCCAAGUAAAAUAAGAGAGAUGGUCUCCAAGA